CAGAAAACCAUGAAGAUGAUGAAAAUGAAGAAGGACAAGAAUCACUGAUCCCCAGCUCCCACCCUGGAGGCCGGUCACCGAGGGCCUUUGAGGGGAAACGAGUUUCCAAAGGCCAGAGCUGCAAGUUUUACAAACACAGCUGCAGCCAAGCACUCAGGUGACCAGUUAUCUGCCGCUGCAGCUGGACCAGUUUGAUUGUGGUGACAGUAAAGCCAGGCUUGGCCUUUCCUCCACCAUCUGGAGCUUUGCAGCCAACAGUGAUUCUGGAAACCAGUGGCCACUCUUCUAAGGUGUUUGUUUUAGAUCUACAAUUAUAUAUUCAAUGAUGACCAGCUGUUCAAAAGUCCAAAUUUCCUCAGUCCUCUCUCGUUGGGUGGAGUUCAUCCUUAAAAGACUCCUCAAGAUGGAAGCAGGACUCCUUGACACAGGGACAGCUUGGUGACUAUAAAGUACUUGCCCACAAUGACUUUUAUUGAGUUUUUAUAAAAUAUUGUCCUGCUUUAUAUGUUCUGUUGAGUUGUAGAAGGUAAAUUAAUUUUCUCCCCAUUGUAUGCAAAUAGGCUUCUUUGAGGCAAGAGGGAGGUCUGGAACUUCAGAGGAACCUUUUUUCUUUUUCUUUAAAAUCUAUCAGUUCUAAGAGGAUAGGCUUAGAGUUGACCAUUCCAGUUAUAUUUCUCCCCGGGAUCUAGACUUUCUCUCUGAUCCUUUCUCAGCAUCUUUUCUUCAUUUUUGUUCUUUUUGAUGCUUUCAUUUCUUUAUUCAAUAUCCCUUAUAGUAUUUUUAGACAAAUAUGUUGCCCUUAUGAACAUUGUCAUUUAGCCUCUUUUUCAGAGAGUUUUCUUUUUCUUCAAUUUUUUUCCUAAUUUCUGCCAAUUCUCUCACUUUCUGUUUCCUGUCCACUUCUCUUUUGAACUGUGUAUUUCUUACACUAAGUUUUGUUUUCGUCACAUCUACAAAUGCUUUGUUAAGAACAUUUACUUCAGAUAGGGAUGUCAUUUUACAGUUUUCCCAUGUUUUGUGAUUGAUUUUGAGGGGUGUCGUUUCAUGAGCUGAAAUCUUUGACUCUCUAUUUCUGUUGUUCUCUUUUGUCACCUUGGAAUACAUGUCUGCUAGGAGAUUUCAUGUCAGUAUGCCUAGGUUUACCUGAAUGAGAAAUAAAAGUUUUAUGUGGGAAUGGAUAAGUGCUUUGAGUAGCUUAGUGGAUUUCUAGGUCUGGAUCUCUCUCUUUGACGCAAUUACUAUAAUAGAUGUAAGGUUUGGGGGAUACGUGUGGUGUGUCUUCUGAUUCUGGGAUUCCAUUUUCUUUCAGCAGGACCUUUAAUUUCUAGCUGUUGCUUCAUUCUUGCUCUUCAAUAGUAGCCUUCAAAGGAAGCUACCUUCAUCAGGGUCUCCCCCUGGCCUGGCAGAUGUGCUUCCCCAAGAUUGUCACCUCUGGUCCUCUCACUGUCGAACCCCUUCCUUUCUGUUCCCAAGCAUCCAGAGCUGUAGUCACCCAGGUCUCUGGCCUGCUCUGAGUUCAUCACACUCUCUUUCUAUGGAGAAUUUAUCUCUGUUCCCUCCUGAGCAGACCCUCCCUGCUGUCAGCUCCUCUGUUUGCAUGGACUUUACUGAUCCAUCCACUGCUGGACAUAAGCUUUCAACUCUGGGGAAACCAAAGAGCAUGAGUGAUCCUUGGAUCCUAUAGUAAGAGUUUGCUUAGUUUUGUAAGAAACAAUCAAACUCCCAAAUCCCCAAAUCCCAAAUAACUGUCUCGUUUUGCAUUCUCACCAGCACAGACUGAGAGUUCUUAUUGCUCCAUAUCUUUAUCAAUUUUUGGUGUUUAUUAUCAGUUUUUGGAUUUUAGCCAUUCUUAUAGAUGUGUAGUGAUAUCUUCUUUAGUUUGCUAUUCCAUCAUAAUGGCAUAUGAUGUUGAGUAUCCUUUUGCAUGUUUUACAUCUGUCUAUCUUCCUUGGUAAGGUGUCUAUUCAGAUCUUUUGACCAUUUUCAAAUUGGAUUGUCUGUUUUCUUGUUGAGUUUUAAGAGUUUUUAUCUUCGGGUAACAGUCCUUUAUCAGAAACAUCUUUUGCAACUAUUUUCUCUCAGCCUGUGUGUUAUUAUUUCAUUCUCUGAAAAAUAUUUUUCUCAGAAGUUUUUAAUUUUAAUGAGUCCUGCUUAUCAAAGUUUUCUGUUAUGGAUUAUAUUUUGCAUGUUAUAUCAAAAAAAUCGUCACCAUACCCAAGAUCAUCUAGAUUUUCUCCUGUGUUAUGUUCUAGAAGCUUUUAUACUUUUGUAUUUUACAUUUGAGUCUAUGAUGCAUUUUGAGUUAAUUUUGUGAAAGGUUUAAGAUCUACUUUCUAAAUUUAUUCCUUUGCAUGCGGAUGUCUAGUUGUUUCCAGCCCCAUUUGUUGAAAGGAAGGUCCUUUCACCAUUAAAUUGCCUUUGUUCUUUUGUCAAGGUUAGUUGACUGUAGUGUGAGUCUAUUUCUGGGCUCUUUAUUCUGUUCCAUUGAUCUAUUUGAAUAUCCUUUCACCAGCACCACACUGUUUUGAUUACUGAAGCUUUAUAGUAAGUUUUGAAGUCAGGUAGCACCAGUCCUUUGACUUUGUUCUUCUACAUCAAUAUUGUGUUCACUCUUCUGGUUGAUUUAUCUCUCCAUGCAAACUUUAGAAUCAGGUUGUUGAUACUCACAAAAUAACUUGCUAAGAUUUUGGUUGAGAUUGUAUUGAACCUAUAGAUAAGUGGAGAAGAGCUGCCAUAUUGACAAUAUUUAGUUUGCUCUUUUUUUUAUGGUUUCCGAAGAAGGAAGCAUAGGUGAUGGAUUUUAGAUCUUUCUCCUUUCCAAUACAUGGAUUCAGUGCUAUAAAUUUCCCUCUAAGCACUGUUUGCUGCAUCCCACAAAUUUUGAUAAGUUGUAUUUUCAUUUUUAUUUAGUUAAAAAUAUUUUAAAAUUUCCCUUUAGACUUCUUUGAUUCAUAUGUUGUUUAGAAGUAUUUUUAAUCUCCCAAUAUUUUGGAAUUUCCAACUAUCUGUCUGUUAUUAAUUUCUAGUUUAAUUCCAUUGUGGUCUUAGAACAUCCAUUGUAUAAUUCCCAUUCUUUUACAUAUCUUAAAGUGUGUUUUAUGGCCCAGAAUAUGGUCUACCUUGGUGAAUGUUCCAUGUGAGCUUGAGGAGAAUGUGUAUUCUGCUGUUGUUAAACGAAGUACUCUACAGAUGUCAGUUAUAUCAAAUUGAUUGAUUGUGUUAUUUAAUUCAAUUAUGUCCUUAUUUAUUUUCUUCCUGCUGAAUAUGUCAAUUACUGAUAGAUGGGUGUUGAAGACUCCACCGGUAACAGUGGAUUCAUCUAUUUCUUCUUGUAGUUCUAUCAAUCUUCGCUUCAUGCAUUUUGACACUCUGCUCUUAGAAGCAUACUUGUUAAGACUUGUUAUGUCUUUUUUGGAGAAUUGUCCCCUUUAUCAUUAUGUAAUGCCUCUCUUUAUCUCUUAUAAUUUUCUUUGUUCUGAAUUUAUUUUGUGUGAAAUUAAUACAGCAAAUCCAGCUUUCUUUUGAUUAAUAUGAGCACGAUAUAUCAUUCUUCAUCCCUUUACUUUUGGUCUGUGUCUUUAUAUUAAAAGCAAGUUUCUGGUAGACAACGUAUCUUAUUUUUUAGUCACUCUGAGAAUCUCUAUUUUUUAAUUCAUAUAUUUAACCAUUGACAUUUAAAGUGAUUGUUGAUAUUUUGGAUUAAUAUCUACCAUAUUUGUUACUGUUUCUAUUCAUUACCCUUUCUUUUAUUAUUUUUUGUCUUCCAUUCUUUUGUUUUUUUCUGAUUUUUAGUUGAACAUUUUAUACGAUUCCAGUUUUUCCCUCUCUUAGUAUAUCAUUUAUACCUUUUUGAAACUCGUUUUAGCAAUUGUCCUUGAGUUUGCAAUAUAAAUUUGCAAUUAAAUCCGAGUCUUCUUUCAAUAACACUAUAACCUUUCACAGGUAGUGCAAGUACCUUAUAUCAGUGUAUUCCUAAUUACUUUCUUCUGUCCCUGGCAGCAUUGCUGUCAUUCAUUGCACUUAUCCAUAAGCUAUAAUCACUGAUUAAUACAUUGCUGCUAUUAGUAUUUGAGCAAAUUGUUGCAUAGUAAAUCAUCUAAGAAUGAGAAAAAUUAAAGAUUUAAUUUUGUCUUCAUUUAUUCCUUCUCUCAUGUACUUCCUUUCCUUUCGUAGACUUGAGUCUCUGACUUUUAUAUUUUUCUUCUUCCUGAAGUAUCUCUUUUAACAUUUCUUGCAAGGCAGGUCUACUGGUAACAAAUUCCUCAUUUUUUGCUUCUCUGAGAAAGUCUUUGUUUCUCUUUCCCAUCGGAAAAAUAAUUUUGCUGAAUACAGAAUUCUAGGUUGGUAUUGCUUUAUCUUCUUCUUCUUUUUUAAACACUUUAAAUAUUUCAUUCUCUUCUUGCUUGCAUGGUUUCUGAACUGAAGUCUGAUGUAAUUCUUAUCCUUGCUUCUCUACAAGCCUGACACCAGUCACCACGUUUCCCACUCAUCCUCCAGGUACGCAGCUCUUUCUCUAGAGAAGUUCCCACAGAUCUCACCUCACUGGAUACUUCUUCCACAGCAGUCUUCAGAAAUGCAGCUAUCAUUGUCUUGCCUGAAUAAAAAGAUAUGUCAGAAAAAACUCUGCAAAGACUGAACUUCAGGAUGUUAUAAUCUCGUGAAGAAUUGAGAAGAUGAAGUAUUCUGAAAGAUAAGGAAAAAUGGCACUAGUUAGAGUCACUGAAAAACUCACUUGCUGAUGUCCCUGUCACCCUCUGCUAACUUCUAAGGAGAAAGAAGUUAUGUAUUUAUGAAACAAUUUUGAAGCUCCACCUGUCAAACUUUGUAACUUUCUGUUUCAGUAGUCAGAGAAAUUGAACAUUUCCCGUUUGUAAACAGUAAUCUUAGCCACAAGAAGAAAUGAUAGUUAAGUGCUCCAUCUUUGCUUUUUUGACUUAAAAAUAUCAGUGGCUGAAAGGAGUGUGAACAUAAGAAUUUUCUUAUUCAGCUGACUUACAUGUGGGUCGUUAGAAACCUGUAGCCUGGAAUGAGGCUUAAUACAUCACAUGAGAAAACUGAGUCACCCAGCCUCUUCUCCUGCUUUCCUGUUAGAGCAGCAGUGGACAGAGGAGAUAUUAGUAGAGGCAUAUAUCACUGCUAGUACCUCACUGCAUCUCCUGGAAUGGGGAGGGUCUUCUAGGAAAUUGCUUUUGUUUAAACGGUACAUCAGCAUUCAUCCAAUUAUUAAUAACUGGCAAACUGGAAGCUUGACAGACGUAGAUGGUGAUUAUGAAUAUAUAAAUCCUUACUCAAAUGUGUCAAAGGAGUUUGGCACUCGUUGCCCUUUUGACUAUGCCUAGGGUGCAUUAUCUCAAUGAUUAAAAUCGUGAUUAUUUAUGCUUUCUGCAUUAUUCAUGGAUAAAUACAAAUCAGUGAUGAUCAUGUAUUAUGACAGUAUUGAAGCUUUGAAAAUUCUGGAAGAGCACUAAGCAUCUAGAAGAGUAAAGGGCCUGAGAAAUCCUUGUCCUUCAGGAUUUUUCUGUGACAUGGUGGAUGCACUCUGGAGUAUCAUAAGCCCUGAGAUAUCAAAUAAAAGGCACCAGUCAGCAGACAGUAUUGUGGUAACCCACCAGCUCAUCUGCAAGAAGAAUGUGGCCAUGACUGGAAGAAGAGUCCCAAAAGAUAGCUAUUGUAGCCAAAUGAUUCGAGGCCAUCUAUGAGAAGAAAAAAGCUGAUUGUCUUAAUCCAAAUGCAACAUCAUAGAGGAAAAAGUUGAAGUUUAGAUUUGAAACCAUCUGAAUAACUCCACUAAAGCAGGAGUAAGUUAGGAAAAAUCAAGGAGGAUCUGGAGUAAUAGCCUACUUGUGUGUGUUCAUUGUUCUCUUACAGACUUUAGUUUCCUGGUUAUAUGGAUGCUUCAAGCUAUCUUAAGUAAAGAGUAGACAGUAAAGAGAGUUCACAGAGGGCCCCAAUUCAAAGUUUGGAGACUAGAGGAACUCAUGGCAGGAAUGACCAUGAUAAGGACAUAUUUCUGCCCUUUCUAAGAAACCAAUUCAUGUGAUCUGAUACCCUCUGUUGAUUUUCCAGCAGACAUCAUGCAAAUUGCUGACUCAAAUAAAAGUAAUCCCUAACAAUACUCCCUUAUCCAAACUGUGUAAUUGGAAUUUUAAUAAAUGGACUAAAGUAAUGCUCAAAAUUGUGCAGUUUUACUGAUUUAUGGGCAGUGGCCAAUUAAGAGGGGUUUUAGGUCAUUGUGUAAAAAGCUCGCUAGUAGAAAAUGUGAGAACUCCCACAAACACAAG
This is a long non-coding RNA of Equus asinus (donkey), 6281 nucleotides long. NCBI's taxonomy places the organism in Eukaryota, Metazoa, Chordata, Mammalia, Perissodactyla, Equidae. The record is from Ensembl.